This 1139-nucleotide long non-coding RNA is filed under the name Zea mays. RNAcentral's name for it is "long non-coding RNA (ZMAY_LNC002702)". Lineage: Eukaryota; Viridiplantae; Streptophyta; Magnoliopsida; Poales; Poaceae. The record is from RNAcentral.
GAUUGGGUAGCUGAUGAACUCGGAGUGCUUCUUGAUCAGAUCCUUGAGGCGGCGCUCCUCAAGGUACUCCAACUGCAGAAAAUAAAAGUCAUAUAUAUUGUAAGAACGAGUCCAGACCUAUAAAUAGCCAAACAGUAAAAAUAAGUAGCAGUGUCUAGCAGAUACAUCAUAUACAUGCACACACAAACUCUUCUUCGAAUGUUCAGUGCAACAGCAAGUGAAAAUAUAUUUUUUAAUCAGUGCCCAGUGGUUGAACCUAAUUACCUGUUCACUUGAACAACUCUAAACAGAACAGUUAUUAUCAUAUCUUCGUACAUAACUUAAUAUCAUAUCAAUGCUCAAUUCUGAAUACGUGCCCACCAGAUUUAAAACAAAAAGAAACAUUUUUCUAAUAAUCAAAUUAAUGAAGGGAACUAUAUCAUUCAACAGCAAUAAACAAAAAACUAGUUCCUGAUAAUCCUACGAUGAACCAAUCAACCAUAAAUUUAAGGCAACCACUGAUCACUUUUACCAUCCACAUUUACAGUCAAAAUCAGUCAGUCAUUUUCGUUUCAUAUUUCUACAUUUGGUCAACCUAACAGAACAUAAGCACAAUUUCCAUAGUAGCUUAGAAAUAAACCCACUAUCCACAUAAUAGGUAAGGGAUUUCAACAAAGCUACUAUAGCCAAAAGGCAUUGGCAGUGCAAUCCAUGAGCGCUAUGUUAAACAGUAAAUAACCAACCAUGGCUGCAUGGCAAUAGAAACUAACACACUGACAUGCAAAAACAUGAUCCAAGUAUAUUUCUGCUAUACCUGAUCAUCCUUGAGGUAGAGGGUCAUCUUUGUACCCCUGCCAAGUUGCUCCCCAGAGGUAUCACGUGCGACAGUGAAGGAGCCACCAGCCUGAGACUCCCACACGUACUGCUCAUCAUCAUUGUGCUUAGUGGUCACGACAACCCUCUCUGCAACAAGGUAGGCAGAGUAGAAACCGACACCAAACUGGCCAAUCAUGGACACAUCAGCACCAGCAGCAAGUGCCUCCAUGAAUUCCUUCGUGCCUGACCGCGCAAUGGUACCAAGGUUGUUCACAAGGUCUGACUUGGUCAUACCAAUGCCGCUGUCGAUGAUUGUCAGCGUGUUGUUGGCCUUGUCGGGGACA